This 255-nucleotide ribosomal RNA is filed under the name uncultured Glomus. RNAcentral's name for it is "partial 18S ribosomal RNA". It matches the Rfam family "Eukaryotic small subunit ribosomal RNA", at positions 624 to 885 of the family's 1831-position model. The record is from RNAcentral. Lineage: Eukaryota; Fungi; Glomeromycota; Glomeromycetes; Glomerales; Glomeraceae.
AAGCUCGUAGUUGAAUUUCGGGGUUAGUAGGUUGGUCAUGCCUCUGGUAUGUACUGGUCUCACUGAUUCCUCCUUCCUUAUGAACCGUAAUGCCAUUAAUUUGGUGUUGCGGGGAAUUUGGACUGUUACUUUGAAAAAAUUAGAGUGUUUAAAGCAAGCUAACGCUUGAAUACAUUAGCAUGGAAUAAUGAAAUAGGACGUUCGAUCUUAUUUGUUGGUUUCUAGGAUUGACGUAAUGAUAAUAGGAUAGUUGGG